GCCAUCCUAGGUUCUAUUGAAGCUAAUUCAUUUGUUCUUUUGAUUGCUCAUCUUUGGACCAUAAUUCUUGGUUCCAUCUUCUUUUCAUUCUUAGUUCCUUUAGUUACCCAUGAUUGGGUUACCAUCCUAGUUUUAAUCUAAGUUUAUUGGUUUGUUCCUCUGAUUUCUGAUCACUAGGACGUCAUCCUAGGUUCUAUCUAUAUCCAAUUUGAGUUAACUUUGUGUCCGAUCGUCUGCAUACCAUCCUAGGUUCGACCCAAGCUUAGUUGGUUGCUUAUUAUUGUUCUCAUCAUCAUGAUGUCAUCCUAGGUUCGGCCUAUGUUCAUUGUUCGUUCCUUUGGUUUCCCAUCAUUGUGAACUAUUUAAGCUUAUUCGUAUGUUCCUGUUUCUAAUAAUCGGGACUCUAUCCUAUGAGUUCUUUUAAGGAUAUGCCCAAUUCCUUGAGUUUAAUUUCGGGCAUCCCCUUCCUUAUGUUUGUUUAGGGUAUUCCCCUUCAUUGAGUUUAUUUCGGGCAUCCUCUUUCCUCGAGUGUUAUUAGGGUAUUCCCAUUCGUAUAUUUUUUUUAGGACAUUCCUAUUCAUUGGGCUAUCAAACUACGUUGAUUUAGUUUAGUCCAUCACCCUUCCUUUAGUUUCUUAAGCCAUCCAUCUUCAUGGAGAUUUUUAAUUCAUUCCCUUUCCUAGAGUUUGUUUAGACCACCCAACUUCCUUCAAUUCUUUUAGAGCAUACCCAUGCAGUAGUUUCUUCAGCGCAACUCCAUUUCUUGAGGGUUUUUAGCACAACCGUUUUUCUUGGGAUUGGGCAUCCCCCUUACUAGAGUUUGUUUGGGGCAUGCCCUUUCUGAGUCUUAUUAGUGAAUCCCCCUUCUUAAUGUUCAUUUACGACGUUCUUCUUCCAUUGGCUCUUUUAAGGGCAUCCCGCUAGGUCGAAUUUGCUUUGAGCAUCCUUCAUUUACUUUGUGAAGAGAAUUCCCUUCAUUAAGUUUAUUAAGGGCAUCGUUUAGGCCAUCCCACAUCCUUAAGUUUUUUUAGGGUAUCCCUCGUCCUUCACCCCAUAAUCAAGAUGUCAUCCUAGGUUCUGUCUAAACAUAAUCAUUUGUUCCCGAGAUUGCUCAUCAUUGGAACACCGUUCAUAGUUUUAUUCAUUUUCAUUCUUAGUUUAUUUAGUUUCACAUCAUUGAGUUGCCAUCCUAGGUUCUAUUGAAGCUAAUUCAUUUGUUCUUUUGAUUGCUCAUCUUUGGACCAUAAUUCUUGGUUCCAUCUUCUUUUCAUUCUUAGUUCCUUUAGUUACCUGUGAUUGGGUUACCAUCCUAGUUUUAAUCUAAGUUUAUUGGUUUGUUCCUCUGAUUUCUGAUCACUAGGACGUCAUCCUAGGUUCUAUCUAUAUCCAAUUUGAGUUAACUUUGUGUCCGAUCGUCUACAUACCAUCCUAGGUUCUACCCAAGCUUAGUUGGUUGUUGGUUAUUGUUCUCAUCAUUGUGAUGUCAUCCUAGGUUCGGC
This 1499-nucleotide long non-coding RNA is filed under the name Vitis vinifera (wine grape). RNAcentral describes it as "long non-coding RNA (VVIN_LNC000486)". Lineage: Eukaryota; Viridiplantae; Streptophyta; Magnoliopsida; Vitales; Vitaceae. The record is from RNAcentral.